UACAUGCAUCCACUGUACUGCUGACAAAAAGUCUGGUCAUCACUUGAGGGGCAUCUGAGGUCAGAUUUGAACAUGUCAGCAUAUGAGAAAUGCCUCAGAGUAUGGGGUAAGGGUGGAAGUUGGAGACCUGAUGCUGGAGUCACCACAUCUCCCACAGGGAGAAAAGGAGAACACCUCUGGGAGGCUCUGGUGACAUCCUGGAGACAUGAGAUCCAGAAGUUGUCAGUAGUUGUUAAUCUUCUUCUGCUGGGGAUUUUGAAAAUCAACUGUGUAAAAAUGGGAUGAAUACUUGCACAUCCAUAUUAUCUAAUAAAAGGUUUUCUUUCAUGGAACUUUA
Molecule: long non-coding RNA, 337 nt
Filed under: Numida meleagris (helmeted guineafowl)
Lineage: Eukaryota; Metazoa; Chordata; Aves; Galliformes; Numididae
Description: lncRNA (ENSNMEG00000015735.1)
Source: RNAcentral